Long non-coding RNA from Humulus lupulus (European hop), 818 nucleotides. RefSeq lists it as uncharacterized. The transcript is spliced from 3 exons. Lineage: Eukaryota; Viridiplantae; Streptophyta; Magnoliopsida; Rosales; Cannabaceae. The record is from RefSeq and is a predicted model, not a curated record.
AACACCUAAAUCCCUCAUUCUCACCAUCUAGGUUCUCUCCCGAUCCACCAAAUCUGUUACCAGAAAAAGGAGCUCAGCAAAACCACACGACAACCUCUUCUUCUCUCACGAUACAGCCACCCACCCUCUUCCUCACGGCGUCGUUCUCCUCCACCGUCGUUCUCCUCUCAGGAUACAGCAAAAAAUGCUUAUCCCUACCCUAAUCAUGCCUCCUCUGCUUCUUUAUCUCUCUAAAACCUAGUCUCUCAUUCUCUCUAUCUCUCCAUCACAGUCUCUCGGCUCUCUCUCCUUCAUGCCUAUACUCUCUAGUUUGAAUGUAAAACCAUGACUAAUCCUACUGAAACAUUUUAUUCUCUCGUCACUCUCUUCCGUUGAGUUGUUGUAGCACUAUUGACGAUGCCCCUGUUGAAGCAAGAAUCCAAGCAACCCAGCUGCUCAAGAAGCCGUACUUCUCUGUGCUGCUUAGAGAUCCAUUCGAUGACAAUGUAAUCCCCAUUGUAGAGGAACUUCAAAGAUGUUUACCUUUAACAAGAGCCAGUCCUAAAGGCCAUGGUGAAGAAGAAGAGAAAGCCUCAGGGGUACGAGAUAAAACUGAAACCAGCGAAGAAAAUGAGUUUCCAUUCGAAUUCUGGGCCUUAGAAGUUGCACUAGAAGCUAUUUGUAGUUGUCUUGAUGCUCGCACAAGAGAAUUGGAAGGUGAUGCUUAUUCAACUUUAGAUGAGCUGACCUCCAAGGUAACAGAAAGUAGUUGUUUUGCCAAAACAUAAGAAGUUAAAUAUAAGUGACCAUAAUUUAUGUGCCAUUUUGAAAGGUUUUUA